Unclassified non-coding RNA from Macaca fascicularis (crab-eating macaque), 116 nucleotides. It matches the Rfam family "Metazoan signal recognition particle RNA". From Rfam's summary of the family: The signal recognition particle (SRP) is a universally conserved ribonucleoprotein. NCBI's taxonomy places the organism in Eukaryota, Metazoa, Chordata, Mammalia, Primates, Cercopithecidae. The record is from Ensembl.
GCCAGGUGUGGUGGCUCACGCCUGUGAUCCCAGCAUUUUGGGAGGCCGAGGCAGGUGGAUCACCUGAGGUCAGGAGUUCUAGACCAGCCUGGCCAACAUGGUGAAACCUGUCUCUG